UUGCGAUGAUGUGACUUUUCCACUGAAGUGACCUUGAAGUGCAGAUCCAUGAGCUUUUUAACCCUGAGCAGU
Molecule: small nucleolar RNA, 72 nt
Organism: Tupaia belangeri (northern tree shrew)
Lineage: Eukaryota; Metazoa; Chordata; Mammalia; Scandentia; Tupaiidae
Source: Ensembl